GUCUACAGUCAUGCCACCCUCAACAAGCCCGAUCCCAUCUGAUCUCGGAAGCUAAGCAGGGUCGGGCCUGGUUAGUACUUGGAUAGGAGACCACUUAGGAAGACCAGGUGUUAUAGGCA
Molecule: ribosomal RNA, 119 nt
Filed under: Pteropus alecto (black flying fox)
Lineage: Eukaryota; Metazoa; Chordata; Mammalia; Chiroptera; Pteropodidae
Source: RNAcentral